GGUGCCCAGGAGGCGCCCGGGUGAGGCACGGGUGCGCAAGCGGGAGUUCCGGCUGGAGGCCCGUGCUCUGGGCCGGCGCCUUCACCAUGGCCUCGGCAGAGCUGGACUACACCAUCGAGAUCCCGGAUCAGCCCUGCUGGAGCCAGACUGCUCGAGCUGCUCUUUGAUUAUGAGAUAGAGAAGGAGCCCCUGCUCUUCCAUGUCUUCAGCAACGGUGGCGUCAUGCUGUACCGCUACGUGCUGGAGCUCCUGCAGACCCGUCGCUUCUGCCACCUGCGUGUGGUGGGCACCAUCUUUGACAGCGCUCCUGGUGACAGCAACCUGGCAGGGGCUCUGCGGGCCCUGGCAGCCAUCCUGGAGCGCCGGGCUGCCAUGCUGCGCCUGUUGCUGCUGGUGGCCUUUGCCCUGGUGGUUGUCCUGUUCCACGUCCUGCUUGCUCCCAUUACAGCCCUCUUCCACACCCACUUCUAUGACAGGCUACAGGACGCAGGCUCUCGCUGGCCCGAGCUCUACCUCUACUCGAGGGCUGAUGAAGUAGUCCUGGCCAGAGACGUAGAACGCAUGGUGGAGGCACGCCUGGCACGCCGGGUCCUGGCGCGUUCUGUGGACUUCGUGUCAUCUGCACACGUCAGCCACCUCCGUGACUACCCUACUUACUACACAAGCCUCUGUGUCGACUUCAUGCGCAACUGCGUCCGCUGCUGAGGCCAUUGCUCCACCUCACCUCUGCUCCAGAAAUAAAUGCCUGACGCCUCCCCACAACUUGCAUCUGUGGGGCACUCUUCUCGUUCAACUCUCUGUAGCCCUUUGGGACUUUGUGGUCCCUUAAGUAGAAAAUUCCUAUGGGCCUGUCUCCUGGGGGCCUCCGUCUGCUGGUGGUCUGCUUACCACAGAAUCCUAAGGGGCAGGAGUGCCUGGGCAUGUGUUUGUGGGAGCCUUGCAGUCAGUUGUGUUUGGACAAGUGCAACAGUCAGGCUGCCGAUUGCUGUGGCAUGCAGGCUGUAGAGGUUGACAAAGGGAGGGUGUGUUGAGGGUGAGCCCUAGUUGAUUUUUUAAAAUUUAAACUGUGGUAAGAACAUUUAACAUGAGACCUACUCUCUUUUUUUCUUUACUUAUUUAUUUAUCUAUUUAUUUCGAGACAGGGUCUCACUCUGUCGCCUAGGCUGGGGUGCAAUGGUGCAAUCAUGGCUCACUGCAGCCUCAACCUCCCAGGCUCAAGUGAUCCUCCCACCUCAGCCUCCCAAAGUGCUAGGAUUACAGGCGUGAGUCACCGUGCCUGGCCAAGAUCACCUAACAAAAUUGUAAGUGUGUACGAUACUUAAAAUUUAAGAGAUUAUGUGCACGGCAGACCUCUAGAACAGAAUAGUCUUGCAUCUUGCAUAAUUCAGAACUUCAUCAUCUUGCAUAACUGAAACUUUGUGCCUGUUACCAGAGUUGAGUUUUGAUUCCUUGAAUGGAAGGUGACCUUUGUGGGGAGAUGCCAGAGGGAAGGUAUCUCGGUCAGGGGUAGCGUCAGGCUGCGGGUAGGGGCUGUGAUCUUUGCUCCAGCAGGGCGAAGCCCUACAGUGUAAAGUAUCAUUCACAUGGCUCCCCCUUGGCAGUUCACUCAGAGAGGCUCCUCUGGCCCCACUGCCUGGGAGUCUGAGGUAGAAGCCAGAUGAGGAGCUGAGGUUAGGGGCCUGCCUGGCUCUACCACACUUUGCUAGGAAGCCGCUGGAUCCGGGAAAGUUGCAAGCUGAAAGUUGCCAGAGAGAGUAGGGAGCAGGAAGGCAGCAGCAUUGUAACAGGAGCUGGGAUGAGCUAACUCCCAAGCCGUAAAGACCAGAACCAGGGUAAGGGGAUUUGGGCUGAAAUAGCAAACUCCUUCAUCCCCUGGAAGAGAGACCCACUUAGAUACUCUCUAGGCAGAAGAGGUGAAUUCAGCCUGAUAGUUCAGUAUCAUUUAUCAUUCUAGAAGUCACUACUGCACAAUGUUGGCAUACAGUAGGUAUUCAAUAAAUAUUUGAUUGAAUGAG
This 2015-nucleotide small RNA is filed under the name Pongo abelii (Sumatran orangutan). Its description in RNAcentral is "processed transcript". Lineage: Eukaryota; Metazoa; Chordata; Mammalia; Primates; Hominidae. The record is from RNAcentral.